CUCCAGAGGAGUUUGCGGAGCACCAACUAGUGUCUAUAAGUAGGCCAAUGGGGGACUGCGAAAUCCGCACCUGGAGCCUGUAGGGACUGUGCGUGGCAGGUGGAGGAAACAGUAGGACCUAUUCCAGCAAGUCAAGGCCUGAAUCUGGAAGAGAACCCAGAGGCUAGAAUCCUCCAAAUCCUCCUACCGCAUGGUAGGCCCUAGAGCACUCACCCCUGACAAAAUGUUGUGGGAAUUGGACCAGUCAAGAAGCAGCAAACGAUACUCAGAGAGUGGAAGAAUUCAAACUUAGUUUAUUUUUUUUUACUUUUUUGGUACUGAAGA
This is a non-coding RNA of Marmota flaviventris (yellow-bellied marmot), 324 nucleotides long. Lineage: Eukaryota; Metazoa; Chordata; Mammalia; Rodentia; Sciuridae. The record is from RefSeq and is a predicted model, not a curated record.